RNAcentral lists this ribosomal RNA (253 nucleotides) under uncultured bacterium. RNAcentral describes it as "partial 16S ribosomal RNA". It matches the Rfam family "Bacterial small subunit ribosomal RNA", at positions 524 to 776 of the family's 1533-position model. The record is from RNAcentral.
UACGUAGGGUGCGAGCGUUAAUCGGAAUUACUGGGCGUAAAGCGUGCGCAGGCGGUUUGUUAAGACAGAUGUGAAAUCCCCGGGCUUAACCUGGGAACUGCAUUUGUGACUGGCAAGCUAGAGUAUGGCAGAGGGGGGUAGAAUUCCACGUGUAGCAGUGAAAUGCGUAGAGAUGUGGAGGAAUACCGAUGGCGAAGGCAAUCCCCUGGGCCUGCACUGACGCUCAUGCACGAAAGCGUGGGGAGCAAACAGG